Molecule: long non-coding RNA, 290 nt
Filed under: Salvia miltiorrhiza (redroot sage)
Lineage: Eukaryota; Viridiplantae; Streptophyta; Magnoliopsida; Lamiales; Lamiaceae
Description: long non-coding RNA (SMIL_LNC010817)
Source: RNAcentral
UAUAUAUACGAAGACAAUUUCGUUUUUUUUUUUUUUUAAUAUCUUUUUUCUUUAUGUUCGCAAACCGUCAUUAUUACCAGGAUUUAUAAUUGGCAAAAAUUUGUAUGCGUUAUAACUUAUGGUGUGCUCUACAAAUUUUGCCCUUAUCUAUAAAGAUACUUCACUUUAAAUGUUCUAAUAGGGUAUUAAAUUUGAUUUGAAGUGUCCUAAUAGAAUGGUAUUCAAUUAAAUUUGAUUAAUGACAAGUUAUCUUUGUAGGAUUUCUAGUACAAUUUGUCCUUUUCAAUUCA